Pelobates cultripes (western spadefoot toad) is the source of this 376-nucleotide non-coding RNA. NCBI's taxonomy places the organism in Eukaryota, Metazoa, Chordata, Amphibia, Anura, Pelobatidae. The record is from the annotation of a GenBank genome assembly.
AGACGAUUUAACAUUAACAUUGACGUUCCAACCAGAUUUUACACUGUGUAUCUGUAUGUUGUCAGUGUAUCUGCGUGUGUCAGUGUGUGCAUCUGUGUGUCUGCAUGUGUGCCAGGUUGUGUGUCUGUAUGUGUUUGUAAAUGUGUCUAUAGCUGCAUCUGUAUGAUUGUGUAUAUCGGUGUUUCUGUGUGUAUGUGUAUCACAGUGUCUGUGUGUGUGUGUGUUUGUGACAGUGCAUGUGUAUUUGUGCAUACAUCUCAGCAUUCAACACUACACACAAAUACACACCUGCAUUCAAACUUCAACACUACAUAUAAACACACCUCUUUUUUUAAACAACAAAAUUAUAUAUAAACACACCAGUGUAUUCAUAAAC